CUUUCCUGCCAUGUCCCACACAGCUGCCUGCGGCGGGGUAAAUAGUCUGUUCUCAAAGCCUUUUAACUGCUCAAUAUUCACCUGUGGAUCCUCAUGUCUCUCUGUCUCUUUGUGUCAGGCAGGAGGCGGGGUGUGGUGGAGAUGCUGUUGCGGUCUGAACGCGAUUAUGUGUCUAGUUUGAAUCAGCUCUAUGAGAAAUACAAAUCUGCUGAGCAAAAUGUGGCAUUUGUAAAGCAUAUUGAUCAGAUGCUACAGCGCCACCUGCUCUUCCGCAACACCCUAGAAGAACAACUGACCAUGGAUGAGAGAAGCUGUGCUGCAGGGGAUGCUUUCCUCAACCUCACUGGACAGAACAAUAAGUCUUUCUCUGAUGCAUAUCUUGGAUACGUGGCCAGUCUGGGAACUCUCCUGAGAACAGAGAUCAGUACAACUUCACCCCACAGCAAUUCACAAAAUGCACAGGAGGAGAAAGAGAGCUUCAGAUUGCUUUCACUACUAUUCGCUCCUGUUUCCCGCAUCCACACAUACCUAAACAUCAUACAGGCCUUGUUACGCAGUACUGGUGCUGGACAUGCAGACUGGUGUUCACUACAGGAGAGCGAGCGGGUGCUGUGGGACCUCCGCACAAGCUGUCACAUGACCUUGGCGAAGGCGGGGCCAUGCGAAGAGGGGGUGGGGCCUGAACAAGGUUUGAGAAGCAGGUGCUGUGCCGAGAGCCCCGACUGUGGCCCUUCCGCUUUUACCAAGUACUGUGCCAACAUUAAUGCGGAUACAGCCAGCGUCACAGCAGGCGCAGGCAUAGACAGCACUGUACACCAGAGGAAAUGCUGUCGUGUUGGCAUCUCACGGACGCUAUCUCGGCCCAGUGGCAUUUUAAGAAACGGCCGUGAGCAUAUGUGUGAUCUGCCCCCUGGUGGCUGGACUGCAGAGUACAUGUGGAAUGGCAGCGCAGGGCAGAGCCACACGGGUCCCAUCUGCGUACCCUUUCCUCGUCAUCCUAGAGAAGCCGGCUGCUUUCGGAACCCUGUGCCACCUGUAGGUGUCGGGGGAAACCUCACUACUGCUGCCAAGAGUCAGAGCUCCUCGGCUGGUCUGGCCGUGCGUGUGUGUGUUUCCCCGGGGCUCGAUGGACGUGUAUACACCUCUGAACUGUACCCUCCGCCGCAUCGUCUCGAUGACGACUGCGACGUGGCCGAUGCAUCCAUUUUUGACUUCUCUUCUGUAACGACCUCUAGCCCAGAUGAAACUCUGAAUCGGCUCAGGGGAGCGGAAGCACGUGAUGAUGAUGAGGAUGAUGAUGAAGAGGACAGCGAGGUUCCAGUUCUCCUCAAACCUUCAUACACUCACAACGCUUCAGCCGUGCAGGCAGGGGGAGGAUUAUGCAUGGCGUGGCAGAUUCCCAAACGGGCUCCUAUUCCUGCNNNNNNNNNNCCUGCUGAGGUUCACAUUGGGGGGCAAGGAAAAACACGUGCCCCAAAACCACACAGAAUCCCCACCAGUGCCUUCCGGCCGAUUUGGGACCCGACUUACUCACAGGGUGAUGCAACUCCUGCAAAAGAGAACUCUGUGUCUUUCAGCUCAACCAAUCAGAUCAUUAAUCAGCAGCAAGAGACUGACCAAUCACGAUCUGCAUAUAGAGGGACUGGAGUCCAGCGGGCUGAAGCAGUGUGGCAUGACAGCGAGGACAGCGAAGGACCCUGCAGUACAGUCUGACACAAACUGGUGCAACUAAUCAUACACAGGAAACGUUUCUACUUCAUCCAAUGAAAUAACUGGAAUCUUUUUUUAAAAUCUGAGAUUACAAAUGACAACUUGUUCUCACUGUGAACUAGUGGUGCAAUGGAUCACAAAACUCACGGUUCGGAUCAUUUUUCGGAUCAGCAAAAAAAUAAAAAUAAAUAAAAAACAAAAUUAGUGAAAGCUUUAAGUACUUCUAUACCAC
This 1942-nucleotide long non-coding RNA is filed under the name Sinocyclocheilus anshuiensis. Its description in RNAcentral is "lncRNA (ENSSANG00000024360.1)". The record is from RNAcentral. Lineage: Eukaryota; Metazoa; Chordata; Actinopteri; Cypriniformes; Cyprinidae.